Molecule: unclassified non-coding RNA, 346 nt
Filed under: soil metagenome
Description: partial contains 5.8S ribosomal RNA, internal transcribed spacer 2, and large subunit ribosomal RNA
Rfam family: 5.8S ribosomal RNA (bases 1-119)
Source: RNAcentral
GAUGAAGAACGUAGCGAAAUGCGAUACGUAAUGUGAAUUGCAAAUUCAGUGAAUCAUCGAGUCUUUGAACGCACAUUGCGCCCCCUGGUAUUCCGGGGGGCAUGCCUGUCCGAGCGUCAUUGCUGCCCUCAAGCACGGCUUGUGUGUUGGGCCCCGUCCUCCGAUCCCGGGGGACGGGCCCGAAAGGCAGCGGCGGCACCGCGUCCGGUCCUCGAGCGUAUGGGGCUUUGCCACCCGCUCUGUAGGCCCGGCCGGCGCUUGCCGAUCAACCCAAAUUUUUUAUCCAGGUUGACCUCGGAUCAGGUAGGGAUACCCGCUGAACUUAAGCAUAUCAAUAAGCGGAGGA